CUUGUGCUACAGGAAACUAUGACUUUGUAAACAUAGCUUUUCUUCCCACUUUUGGCAAUGGCCAGACUCCUGUGAUCAAUCUUGCUGGUCACUGCGAUCCCUACAGUAAUGGUUGCACAGGAUUGAGUUCUGAUAUUAAGUCCUGUCAAGCCAAAGGCAUUAAAGUGAUGCUUUCUAUUGGUGGAGGAGCUGGGAGUUAUUAUCUUGCAUCUACUGAGGAUGCCAAGCAGGUUGCUACUUACCUUUGGAAUAACUUCUUGGGGGGACAUUCAUCGUCUCGCCCACUCGGACCAGCUGUUCUAGAUGGAAUUGAUUUUGACAUUGAAGGAGGAACGAACCUACACUGGGAUGAUCUUGCAAGGUUCCUGUCAGCAUAU
Molecule: long non-coding RNA, 377 nt
Filed under: Manihot esculenta (cassava)
Lineage: Eukaryota; Viridiplantae; Streptophyta; Magnoliopsida; Malpighiales; Euphorbiaceae
Description: long non-coding RNA (MESC_LNC004198)
Source: RNAcentral